CGCCUGGGGAGUGCGGCCGCAAGGUUAAAACUCAAAUGAAUUGACGGGGGCCCGCACAAGCGGUGGAGCAUGUGGUUUAAUUCGACGCAACGCGAAGAACCUUACCUGGCCUUGACAUCCAGAGAACUUUCCAGAGAUGGAUUGGUGCCUUCGGGAGCUCUGAGACAGGUGCUGCAUGGCCGUCGUCAGCUCGUGUCGUGAGAUGUUGGGUUAAGUCCCGUAACGAGCGCAACCCCUAUCCCUGGUUGCUAGCAGGUAAUGCUGAGAACUCCAGGGAGACUGCCGGUGACAAACCGGAGGAAGGUGGGGAUGACGUCAGGUCAUCAUGGCCCUUACGGCCAGGGCUACACACGUGCUACAAUGGCGCGUACAGAGGGCUGCCAACUCGCGAGAGUGAGCCAAUCCCUUAAAACGCGUCGUAGUCCGGAUCGGAGUCUGCAACUCGACUCCGUGAAGUCGGAAUCGCUAGUAAUCGCGAAUCAGAAUGUCGCGGUGAAUACGUUCCCGGGCCUUGUACACACCGCCCGUCACACCAUGGAAGUGGAUUGCACCAGAAGUAGUUAGUCUAACCUUCGGGAGGACGAUUACCACGGUGUGGUUCAUGACUGGGGUGAAGUCGUAACAAGGUAACCGUA
RNAcentral lists this ribosomal RNA (635 nucleotides) under uncultured Marinobacter sp. Its description in RNAcentral is "bacterial SSU rRNA". It matches the Rfam family "Bacterial small subunit ribosomal RNA", at positions 870 to 1504 of the family's 1533-position model. Lineage: Bacteria; Pseudomonadati; Pseudomonadota; Gammaproteobacteria; Pseudomonadales; Marinobacteraceae. The record is from RNAcentral.